GCACGUCUGCCUGGGCGUCACGCAUCGCGUCGCCCCCCCACCCUCGCCCCGAAAGGGUCGCGGGUAGAGCGGGGGGGCGGAAGUUGGCUUCCCGUGCUCCGUCGCGGCCAGCCUAAAAAACGUUCCCUCGCCGCGGACGUCGCGACAAGUGGUGGUCGUCGAGAUUGAACGCGAGUCGCCGGCAAGC
This 187-nucleotide ribosomal RNA is filed under the name Hoya insularis. RNAcentral's name for it is "5.8S ribosomal RNA". Lineage: Eukaryota; Viridiplantae; Streptophyta; Magnoliopsida; Gentianales; Apocynaceae. The record is from RNAcentral.